GACAGAGGUGCCGAGCGUUAGGCGGAAUCACUGGGCUUAAAGCGCGUGUAGGCGGACCGUUAAGUGUCUUGUGAAAUCCCCCGGCUCAACCGGGGAACGGCUGGGCAUACUGGCGGUCUUGGGCCACCUAGGGGCGAGCGGAACAGGCGGUGGAGCGGUGAAAUGCGUAGAUAUCGCCUGGAACGCCGACGGUGAAAACAGCUCGCUGGGGGUGUGCCGACGCUGAGACGCGAAAGCCAGGGGAGCGAACGGG
This 253-nucleotide ribosomal RNA is filed under the name uncultured Singulisphaera sp. RNAcentral's name for it is "partial 16S ribosomal RNA". It matches the Rfam family "Bacterial small subunit ribosomal RNA", at positions 524 to 776 of the family's 1533-position model. The record is from RNAcentral. Lineage: Bacteria; Pseudomonadati; Planctomycetota; Planctomycetia; Isosphaerales; Isosphaeraceae.